RNAcentral lists this long non-coding RNA (1198 nucleotides) under Homo sapiens (human). RNAcentral describes it as "long non-coding RNA NONHSAT223335.1". The record is from RNAcentral. Lineage: Eukaryota; Metazoa; Chordata; Mammalia; Primates; Hominidae.
ACGUGCAGGUCCGUUACAUAGGUAUACAUGUGCCAUGGUGGUUUGCUGAACCCAUCAACCCGUCAUCUUCAAAGCCUUUUUGAGACUGGCCACCCAAUGGGACUCGAAAAUUAUGCUGCCUGGAUGGCACAGACCAAGAGAGUCCUUCCACUUGGUCACAAGUCAAGCUUUCAAGGACAUCAAACAAGAUGAGAGAGAACCUAAAAUGAUACUCCUCUUCAUGACAGAAGGACACCCAAAGACAAAGGAAAAGACUAUUUCUGGUAGAAAAGGGACCAAACACUAUGAAUAUUCAAACCACAAAGUACCAAAAAGUAUACCAGAUAAGGCCUUCAGUAUAUCAAGAUCAGUGGAUCAAAGAAACAUCCUCAAGAAACUAAGAAACAACACAAGAUUCUCUCUGAUGAAAUGCUUAAGUAUAAUUUACAAAAUCUACAGACAAAGAACGACUACUGAGGAAGGGAAAAUGAUGGAAGACACAGAAGAGCAGCAGAAUUGGGUAGAAGACUACUACAGAUGCCAGAUCGCCACUUCUGAAAGAAAGGCUUACGACAACUGGCUCUGUGUUUAAGCCUCGCAGAGGGAGAUGCAAGAGAAGAAGGCUGCCUACAAGCAGCACAGGAAAUGAUUGAAAAACAGAGAGUGCUGGAGAGACACAUUAGUCAGGAGCCAGCUAGUGGACAACCAGGCAUAGAGAAUCAUCCCCAAAGAUGGCUCUGUCUUCCCUGGAACAGGACCCAGAGUGCCUGCAUUUGCAGACAGACACAGUGGCAUGUGGUGACAGCAGGUUAUCCUCAUGGCUUCCCUUCACACCCCAGCUGUCCUCAGGACUCAGUAGAAGGGAGAUUUUUUGGCACUGACACUGCUAUUUUGAAAUCUGGAGGAAAGAAAGGUCAAUAUGGCUUUGGGAGGGCCCCUUUUUCAGGAUUGCCCUACUUGCUCUACUGCAUGGCUGGCUCUUCAGGACCAUUUGUGGGCUGCCAGACACCUCCUCUGCCUGGGUGGCCUCUGGGAACACGACCACUGCCUCCAUGCACACCACUUGGACAAGCUGAAAUUUGAAGAGGCCCCUGAGCUGUGACAGCCAUGCUGUGGCUCCUACAUAACUUGGAAAAGUAUCCAAUACAUUUUACGCUGCCUGCCCAGUGCUGCCUCAUCUGUCUCUAAUCUUCUGUAGUGUUUCCCCUAAUAAAGGUUU